Long non-coding RNA from Zophobas morio, 604 nucleotides. RefSeq lists it as uncharacterized. The transcript has 5 exons. The record is from RefSeq and is a predicted model, not a curated record. NCBI's taxonomy places the organism in Eukaryota, Metazoa, Arthropoda, Insecta, Coleoptera, Tenebrionidae.
UUAAACUGUAGUCCAGAUUUUUGAAGAACACCCGUUGAGAGCAAAGACAAAGCGACAGCAACAAUAAUAGCAGCAACUAACGUUAUGGCAAAUGCUUGCUAUGAACUAUUGUCGCAACCACCUAUUGGUUUUGCUUGAGACAAAGCAUGGAACACCAAAAACGUUUUGCUUUCAAGCUUGUAGCUACUGACAACUUUCACUUUUCUAAACAACGCUUUUACCGCUUUUAAGGCGUUGUGGGAUCAGACUGCCUUCAUAUUGUACCUAGUGAGCAGUCGCUUGUCUUAACUGAUAUUGAGGAGCAUACGCCCAAUACGUUCCCCCUCAGUUCACAUACACCGGGGGAUUCUUCACUACGAGGCCCAUCCGAAUAAACGAGAUAAAACUAUUACUCUACGUGGAUUGGGUAUCUAGUGCGGACAGUUCAGAUUCUUUGACUGCCCUGUUCUUUAUUGUUACGAAGCUCUGACCUCCACUAGAUAGAAGGCGAGAUUAGCUUUUCUCUUCUUCUCCCGACGCUAAGUUGCAUUGAAGCUACUGGGAACACUAUUUCUACUUUCAAAAGCCAGCAAGCCAGAGACCUAAAUAAGUAGAUAUCUACUGU